Molecule: small RNA, 16 nt
Filed under: Arabidopsis thaliana (thale cress)
Lineage: Eukaryota; Viridiplantae; Streptophyta; Magnoliopsida; Brassicales; Brassicaceae
Description: ATSL107680
Source: RNAcentral
UUUCUUUCUUUCUUUU